UUAAGCGACUAAGCGUACACGGUGGAUGCCCUGGCAGUCAGAGGCGAUGAAGGACGUGCUAAUCUGCGAUAAGCGUCGGUAAGGUGAUAUGAACCGUUAUAACCGGCGAUUUCCGAAUGGGGAAACCCAGUGUGAUUCGUCACACUAUCAUUAACUGAAUCCAUAGGUUAAUGAGGCGAACCGGGGGAACUGAAACAUCUAAGUACCCCGAGGAAAAGAAAUCAACCGAGAUUCCCCCAGUAGCGGCGAGCGAACGGGGAGCAGCCCAGAGCCUGAAUCAGUGUGUGUGUUAGUGGAAGCGUCUGGAAAGGCGUGCGAUACAGGGUGACAGCCCCGUACACAAAAAUGCACAUAUUGUGAGCUCGAUGAGUAGGGCGGGACACGUGGUAUCCUGUCUGAAUAUGGGGGGACCAUCCUCCAAGGCUAAAUACUCCUGACUGACCGAUAGUGAACCAGUACCGUGAGGGAAAGGCGAAAAGAACCCCGGCGAGGGGAGUGAAAAAGAACCUGAAACCGUGUACGUACAAGCAGUGGGAGCACGCUUAGGCGUGUGACUGCGUACCUUUUGUAUAAUGGGUCAGCGACUUAUAUUCUGUAGCAAGGUUAACCGAAUAGGGGAGCCGAAGGGAAACCGAGUCUUAACUGGGCGUUAAGUUGCAGGGUAUAGACCCGAAACCCGGUGAUCUAGCCAUGGGCAGGUUGAAGGUUGGGUAACACUAACUGGAGGACCGAACCGACUAAUGUUGAAAAAUUAGCGGAUGACUUGUGGCUGGGGGUGAAAGGCCAAUCAAACCGGGAGAUAGCUGGUUCUCCCCGAAAGCUAUUUAGGUAGCGCCUCGUGAAUUCAUCUCCGGGGGUAGAGCACUGUUUCGGCAAGGGGGUCAUCCCGACUUACCAACCCGAUGCAAACUGCGAAUACCGGAGAAUGUUAUCACGGGAGACACACGGCGGGUGCUAACGUCCGUCGUGAAGAGGGAAACAACCCAGACCGCCAGCUAAGGUCCCAAAGUCAUGGUUAAGUGGGAAACGAUGUGGGAAGGCCCAGACAGCCAGGAUGUUGGCUUAGAAGCAGCCAUCAUUUAAAGAAAGCGUAAUAGCUCACUGGUCGAGUCGGCCUGCGCGGAAGAUGUAACGGGGCUAAACCAUGCACCGAAGCUGCGGCAGCGACACUAUGUGUUGUUGGGUAGGGGAGCGUUCUGUAAGCCUGUGAAGGUGUACUGUGAGGUAUGCUGGAGGUAUCAGAAGUGCGAAUGCUGACAUAAGUAACGAUAAAGCGGGUGAAAAGCCCGCUCGCCGGAAGACCAAGGGUUCCUGUCCAACGUUAAUCGGGGCAGGGUGAGUCGACCCCUAAGGCGAGGCCGAAAGGCGUAGUCGAUGGGAAACAGGUUAAUAUUCCUGUACUUGGUGUUACUGCGAAGGGGGGACGGAGAAGGCUAUGUUGGCCGGGCGACGGUUGUCCCGGUUUAAGCGUGUAGGCUGGUUUUCCAGGCAAAUCCGGAAAACUAAGGCUGAGGCGUGAUGACGAGGCACUACGGUGCUGAAGCAACAAAUGCCCUGCUUCCAGGAAAAGCCUCUAAGCAUCAGGUAACAUCAAAUCGUACCCCAAACCGACACAGGUGGUCAGGUAGAGAAUACCAAGGCGCUUGAGAGAACUCGGGUGAAGGAACUAGGCAAAAUGGUGCCGUAACUUCGGGAGAAGGCACGCUGAUAUGUAGGUGAAGUCCCUCGCGGAUGGAGCUGAAAUCAGUCGAAGAUACCAGCUGGCUGCAACUGUUUAUUAAAAACACAGCACUGUGCAAACACGAAAGUGGACGUAUACGGUGUGACGCCUGCCCGGUGCCGGAAGGUUAAUUGAUGGGGUCAGCGCAAGCGAAGCUCUUGAUCGAAGCCCCGGUAAACGGCGGCCGUAACUAUAACGGUCCUAAGGUAGCGAAAUUCCUUGUCGGGUAAGUUCCGACCUGCACGAAUGGCGUAAUGAUGGCCAGGCUGUCUCCACCCGAGACUCAGUGAAAUUGAACUCGCUGUGAAGAUGCAGUGUACCCGCGGCAAGACGGAAAGACCCCGUGAACCUUUACUAUAGCUUGACACUGAACAUUGAGCCUUGAUGUGUAGGAUAGGUGGGAGGCUUUGAAGUGUGGACGCCAGUCUGCAUGGAGCCGACCUUGAAAUACCACCCUUUAAUGUUUGAUGUUCUAACGUUGACCCGUAAUCCGGGUUGCGGACAGUGUCUGGUGGGUAGUUUGACUGGGGCGGUCUCCUCCUAAAGAGUAACGGAGGAGCACGAAGGUUGGCUAAUCCUGGUCGGACAUCAGGAGGUUAGUGCAAUGGCAUAAGCCAGCUUGACUGCGAGCGUGACGGCGCGAGCAGGUGCGAAAGCAGGUCAUAGUGAUCCGGUGGUUCUGAAUGGAAGGGCCAUCGCUCAACGGAUAAAAGGUACUCCGGGGAUAACAGGCUGAUACCGCCCAAGAGUUCAUAUCGACGGCGGUGUUUGGCACCUCGAUGUCGGCUCAUCACAUCCUGGGGCUGAAGUAGGUCCCAAGGGUAUGGCUGUUCGCCAUUUAAAGUGGUACGCGAGCUGGGUUUAGAACGUCGUGAGACAGUUCGGUCCCUAUCUGCCGUGGGCGCUGGAGAACUGAGGGGGGCUGCUCCUAGUACGAGAGGACCGGAGUGGACGCAUCACUGGUGUUCGGGUUGUCAUGCCAAUGGCACUGCCCGGUAGCUAAAUGCGGAAGAGAUAAGUGCUGAAAGCAUCUAAGCACGAAACUUGCCCCGAGAUGAGUUCUCCCUGACUCCUUGAGAGUCCUGAAGGAACGUUGAAGACGACGACGUUGAUAGGCCGGGUGUGUAAGCGCAGCGAUGCGUUGAGCUAACCGGUACUAAUGAACCGUGAGGCUUAACCUU
Molecule: ribosomal RNA, 2901 nt
Filed under: Shigella boydii
Lineage: Bacteria; Pseudomonadati; Pseudomonadota; Gammaproteobacteria; Enterobacterales; Enterobacteriaceae
Description: bacterial LSU rRNA
Rfam family: Bacterial large subunit ribosomal RNA
Source: RNAcentral